RNAcentral lists this ribosomal RNA (2894 nucleotides) under Stenotrophomonas maltophilia. RNAcentral describes it as "23S ribosomal RNA". It matches the Rfam family "Bacterial large subunit ribosomal RNA". The record is from RNAcentral. Lineage: Bacteria; Pseudomonadati; Pseudomonadota; Gammaproteobacteria; Lysobacterales; Lysobacteraceae.
GUUAUAUGGUCAAGCGAAUAAGCGCACACGGUGGAUGCCUUGGCGGUCAGAGGCGAUGAAGGACGUGGCAGCCUGCGAAAAGUAUCGGGGAGCUGGCAACAAGCUUUGAUCCGGUAAUGUCCGAAUGGGGAAACCCACCCGCUUGCGGGUAUCCUGCAGUGAAUACAUAGCUGCCGGAAGCGAACCUGGUGAACUGAAAUAUCUAAGUAACCAGAGGAAAAGAAAUCAACCGAGAUUCCGUAAGUAGCGACGAGCGAACGCGGACUAGCCCUUAAGCUGGAUUGGUUCUAGGAAAACGCUCUGGAAAGAGCGGCCAUAGAAGGUGAUAGCCCUGUAUCUGAAAGGGCCAUUCCAGUGAAGACGAGUAGGGCGGGGCACGUGAAACCCUGUCUGAACAUGGGGGGACCAUCCUCCAAGGCUAAAUACUACUGACCGACCGAUAGUGAACCAGUACCGUGAGGGAAAGGCGAAAAGAACCCCGGAGAGGGGAGUGAAAUAGAACCUGAAACCGUGUGCGUACAAGCAGUAGGAGCUCCGCAAGGAGUGACUGCGUACCUUUUGUAUAAUGGGUCAGCGACUUACUGUUCGUGGCAAGCUUAACCGUAUAGGGGAGGCGAAGGGAAACCGAGUCUGAUAAGGGCGCAUAGUCGCGGGCAGUAGACCCGAAACCGGGUGAUCUAGUCAUGCCCAGGGUGAAGGUGCGGUAACACGCACUGGAGGCCCGAACCCACUCCCGUUGCAAAGGUAGGGGAUGAGGUGUGAUUAGGAGUGAAAAGCUAAUCGAACCCGGAGAUAGCUGGUUCUCCUCGAAAGCUAUUUAGGUAGCGCCUCAUAUGUAUCCUCUCGGGGGUAGAGCACUGUUAUGGCUAGGGGGUCAUCGCGACUUACCAAACCAUUGCAAACUCCGAAUACCGAGACGGACUGUAUGGGAGACACACGGCGGGUGCUAACGUCCGUCGUGAAAAGGGAAACAACCCAGACCCACAGCUAAGGUCCCAAAUUUUGUGCUAAGUGGAAAACCAUGUGGAAAGGCACAGACAGCCAGGAGGUUGGCUUAGAAGCAGCCACCCUUUAAAGAAAGCGUAAUAGCUCACUGGUCGAGUCGGUCUGCGGGGAAGAUUUAACGGGGCUAAGCACAGAACCGAAGCUUGGGGUGCAUAACUUUGUUAUGCGCGGUAGAGGAGCGUUCCGUAAGCCGUUGAAGGUGGAUUGAGAAGUCUGCUGGAGGUAUCGGAAGUGCGAAUGCUGACAUGAGUAACGAUAAUGCGGGUGAAAAACCCGCACGCCGAAAGCCCAAGGUUUCCUUGCGCAACGUUAAUCGGCGCAGGGUGAGUCGGCCCCUAAGGCGAGGACGAAAGUCGUAGUCGAUGGGAAGCAGGUUAAUAUUCCUGCACCUCGCGUAAGUGCGAUGGAGGGACGGAGAAGGUUAGGUGUACCAGGCGUUGGUUGUCCUGGGGAAAGGCGGUAGGUUUGGAUCUUUGGCAAAUCCGGGAUCCUCUAAGACCGAGCACCGAGACGAGCCUUUAUGGCGAAGUCACUGAUACCACGCUUCCAGGAAAAGCUCCUAAGCUUCAGCUUACGCAGACCGUACCGUAAACCGACACAGGUGGGUAGGAUGAGAAUUCUCAGGCGCUUGAGAGAACUCGGGUGAAGGAACUAGGCAACAUGGCACCGUAACUUCGGGAGAAGGUGCACCCUUUUUGGUGGCUCGUGCGAGCUAUAGCUGAAGAGGGUCGCAGUAACCAGGCCGCUGCGACUGUUUAUCAAAAACACAGCACUCUGCAAACACGAAAGUGGACGUAUAGGGUGUGACGCCUGCCCGGUGCUGGAAGGUUAAUUGAUGGGGUCAGCCGCAAGGCGAAGCUCUUGAUCGAAGCCCCAGUAAACGGCGGCCGUAACUAUAACGGUCCUAAGGUAGCGAAAUUCCUUGUCGGGUAAGUUCCGACCUGCACGAAUGGCGUAACGACAGCGGCGCUGUCUCCACCCGAGACUCAGUGAAAUUGAAAUCGCUGUGAAGAUGCAGCGUUCCCGUGGCAAGACGGAAAGACCCCGUGAACCUUUACUAUAGCUUUACACUGAACGUUGAGUUCGUCUGUGUAGGAUAGGUGGGAGGCUAUGAAACUGUGGCGCCAGCUGCAGUGGAGCCAUCCUUGAAAUACCACCCUGUCGUGCUUGACGUUCUAACCUGGGCCCAUUAUCUGGGUCGGGGACCGUGUAUGGUGGGUAGUUUGACUGGGGCGGUCUCCUCCUAAAGAGUAACGGAGGAGCUCGAAGGUACGCUCAGCGCGGUCGGACAUCGCGCACUGUGUGCAAAGGCAUAAGCGUGCUUGACUGCAAGAUCGACGGAUCAAGCAGGUAGGAAACUAGGACUUAGUGAUCCGGUGGUUCUGUAUGGAAGGGCCAUCGCUCAACGGAUAAAAGGUACUCCGGGGAUAACAGGCUGAUACCGCCCAAGAGUUCAUAUCGACGGCGGUGUUUGGCACCUCGAUGUCGGCUCAUCACAUCCUGGGGCUGUAGUCGGUCCCAAGGGUAUGGCUGUUCGCCAUUUAAAGUGGUACGCGAGCUGGGUUCAGAACGUCGUGAGACAGUUCGGUCCCUAUCUGCCAUGGGCGUUGGAGAUUUGAGAGGGGCUGCUCCUAGUACGAGAGGACCGGAGUGGACGAACCUCUGGUGUUCCGGUUGUCACGCCAGUGGCAUUGCCGGGUAGCUAUGUUCGGAAGCGAUAACCGCUGAAAGCAUCUAAGCGGGAAGCGCGCCUCAAGAUGAGAUCUCCCGGGGCACAAGCCCCCUGAAGGAACCAUGUAGACUACGUGGUUGAUAGGUCAGGUGUGUAAGUACAGCAAUGUAUUGAGCUAACUGAUACUAAUGAUCCGUGCGGCUUGACCAUAUAACCU